RNAcentral lists this long non-coding RNA (321 nucleotides) under Populus trichocarpa (black cottonwood). RNAcentral describes it as "long non-coding RNA (PTRI_LNC003013)". The record is from RNAcentral. Lineage: Eukaryota; Viridiplantae; Streptophyta; Magnoliopsida; Malpighiales; Salicaceae.
UUCAAACACAAACACAGUCUGCAAGUAUAUAAAGGAAAAAACACCAUCUCUUCUUGCCUCGUCGGUCUCUCUCGAUUUGAAAUCCUGUUUGGAGAUAUUUUAGCAAGAAAAUCGUCCUCUGCUUUCCUUUUCCCACUGUGGCUGUGGCUGCCAUUUUCUCUCUAGAGUCAUGAUGAUUCUUCUUUUUGUCAAUUUUUCUCGUUUCCAGAUCUCUCUUUUUAUUCUAUUGCUAUGAGAUAAUGUUUGAUACAUGAAACUCCACGUAAUUUGACAAGAAAUCCUCACUCGUACAGGUAUGAUUAUGCUGUUUUUUUGUGAAUG